GACGAACGCUGGCGGCGUGCUUAACACAUGCAAGUCGAACGGAAAGGCCCUGCUUUUGUGGGGUGCUCGAGUGGCGAACGGGUGCGUAACACGUGAGUAACCUGCCCUUGACUUUGGGAUAACUUCAGGAAACUGGGGCUAAUACCGGAUAGGAGCUCCUGCUGCAUGGUGGGGGUUGGAAAGUUUCGGCGGUUGGGGAUGGACUCGCGGCUUAUCAGCUUGUUGGUGGGGUAGUGGCUUACCAAGGCUUUGACGGGUAGCCGGCCUGAGAGGGUGACCGGCGACAUUGGGACUGAGAUACGGCCCAGACUGCUACGGGAGGCAGCAGUGGGGAAUAUUGCACAAUGGGCGGAAGCCUGAUGCAGCAACGCCGCGUGCGGGAUGACGGCCUUCGGGUUGUAAACCGCUUUCGCCUGUGACGAAGCGUGAGUGACGGUAAUGGGUAAAGAAGCACCGGCUAACUACGUG
RNAcentral lists this ribosomal RNA (468 nucleotides) under uncultured bacterium. RNAcentral describes it as "partial 16S ribosomal RNA". It matches the Rfam family "Bacterial small subunit ribosomal RNA", at positions 28 to 507 of the family's 1533-position model. The record is from RNAcentral.